UUUAAAGUUUGUGAAGACAAGAACACCACAAGCGCCCAAUCAAAGUGCAGAUAUUUACUUCAUAAUUCUGAAUGCCAGAUUGCAAUGUGGUCUAAACUCAUACUCCUGAUGAUGCUUGAUGGCUCUACUACCACGCGAAUAUGCAAGAAUAUAGCACACGUGCUACAGAUCAACCAAAAAGGCUUUGUGCAACCCAGCAACAGGUGCUGCUGCAUUUCAUCCUGUACAGGAAGUUAGCUUGUUCUUCUUCUGGAUGCUCCACCACUAGCUUCUGGCAAUACUCCUCGCAUGCGUGGAUCCCAUCAACCAUUGGCUCCCACUGAGAAAGGGCUUGGAACCCAUGAAAGUAGCAAACCACAGAGCUUCUUUUGCCUCGACAACAUAUACCUCUCCGUGUGAUCUGUGGUUAUAGUUCAGAUCCACCAGGCAAAUAGAUUUCCCGCUCUUCAGAACUGAUAUGGCAGCUUUGCAGCUGCUCUUUACUGCCUCUUCCUUGGAUGAAGCUUCAGGACUGGUAAUAGCUACUGUCUUCGGCGCCUCACCUACAUGAAGAAAACAACAAAAGAGAAAAAGUAGAGGAAAGACGACAGAGAUUCUAGGAGGGAAAUAGAUAAACCUGGCUAAGUUGGGUGUUCUCUAGUUACGUGAGCUGCACACAAGUUUACAUCAUUUUAUCAGGCUGAUAAGAGUUCUGCUAUCAGGAUCAAACAAAAAGCAAGGGAACGAGGGACAAAGGCUUUUCAGAGUUCUGCUGAAGCUUCUAAGGAGUUGUCCCACAUUUAAGAGGCAUUCUGAAGACUUGAAGGUGAAACAGCGCUUUACGUGGUAGGAUGGUUGCUACAAAUAUCCGUUGUGCCGAGAAAACACAAUGGCCUUUCCUGCCAGCUCGCCAUCAACUACAAAUAAAUGAAGGCAAAGAAGUGCAACAUCACCAGACUUUCUUCAAUGGCCGAGAGGGGAAUGCAAAUGUGAAGAUCCGUCUUGACAGGAUGUUGGCCAGCCCAGCCAUGGAUGAUCUAUACAGUGGGUCAGUAGUGAGGCAUUCUCCUUCUCCAAAAUCUGACCAUUGUGUGUUGAUCACAAAGUUGCGUACGCUCUUGGAUAGUGAAAGUGAAAGUGAAAGAGGGCCUAGGCCUUUUAUGUAUGAAGACGCUUGGCGUAGGGAGGAAAGCUACGAAAAAGCUAUUAUUGACAGUUGGCAGAACGGAUCUGGUGCAAGAGACCUUGCAGGUCUGCAGGAGGCGUUAAGCCAGAUGCAAGUUGGUCUUUCGACCUAGAGUUCAAAGAAGUUUGGUGAUAUAGGAAGAAGGAUAAAAAAGUGUCGAAAGGCAUUUGAAAAAGAGCGUGCAGAUUCUUUGUACCGUGGGACUUCGGUGAGAGAAAAGGAUUUGGCACCACAGCUCUCUGAACUCCUUCGGAAGGGGGAGAUCAUGGCUAAGCAGCGUUCGAGAGUAGACUGGCUGAAGGAG
This is a long non-coding RNA of Lolium rigidum, 1469 nucleotides long. RefSeq lists it as uncharacterized. The record is from RefSeq and is a predicted model, not a curated record. NCBI's taxonomy places the organism in Eukaryota, Viridiplantae, Streptophyta, Magnoliopsida, Poales, Poaceae. The transcript is spliced from 9 exons.